Long non-coding RNA from Helianthus annuus (common sunflower), 491 nucleotides. RefSeq lists it as uncharacterized. The transcript is spliced from 2 exons. The record is from RefSeq and is a predicted model, not a curated record. NCBI's taxonomy places the organism in Eukaryota, Viridiplantae, Streptophyta, Magnoliopsida, Asterales, Asteraceae.
GAUAUUACCCCUCGCCACCACUGACACUGCCAUUCACCACCACAACCACCACUGCCACCUCCAGCCACCAUAAAACUUUAAAAUUAAUGUAUCUACAAAUCUGCCUUAAUGCAAUCAGAUCCAAACCCAGUUCAAAUCGGCGGUGGUGUCGGAUGUGAUCAACGGCGGAGAUGAAGCUCCGGCGGUGGAAGUAGCUAAGAGGGGAUCAGUGGAGAAGGUUUACGUGAAGCGCAAGAAAAGUAAAGUUCAAGUGGAUAGCGGUGGUGUCGGAUGUGAUCAGAUCCAAACCCAGUUCAAAUCGGUUCUUCCUGUUCAAUUUGGGCUUCAAUCAUUCUAAUUUGUAUAAAGAACCCAGUUCAAAUCGGUUCUUCCUGUUCAAAUCGGUGAAUCGGUACACUUUCCGAUAUUGCAAUUGGAAUGUGAACAGGAAGAUACAGAUAUAGAGACAGAGAGAGUAUAUGUAUAGGUGGAGAGUGAAGCCCAAAUUAGAA